Molecule: ribosomal RNA, 254 nt
Filed under: uncultured bacterium
Lineage: Bacteria
Description: partial 16S ribosomal RNA
Rfam family: Bacterial small subunit ribosomal RNA
Source: RNAcentral
UACGUAGGUGGCAAGCGUUGUCCGGAUUUAUUGGGCGUAAAGAGCUCGUAGGUGGUUCGGUAAGUCGGGUGUUAAACCCCCAGGCUCAACCUGGGGACGCCACUCGAUACUGCUGUGACUUGAGUCCGGUAGGGGAGCGUGGAAUUCCUGGUGUAGCGGUGAAAUGCGCAGAUAUCAGGAGGAACACCAGCGGCGAAGGCGGCGCUCUGGGCCGGUACUGACACUGAGGAGCGAAAGCGUGGGUAGCAAACAGG